This 162-nucleotide ribosomal RNA is filed under the name Channa punctata (spotted snakehead). RNAcentral describes it as "partial 16S ribosomal RNA". The record is from RNAcentral. Lineage: Eukaryota; Metazoa; Chordata; Actinopteri; Anabantiformes; Channidae.
AACAGCUAGCUCAUACUCAUAAAUUCAAAACAACACCAUAAAUAACCCCAAACGCACGAUUAGUAACAUAAUUAAACCAUUCUUCCUCCUUAGUACGGGCGACGGAAAAGGGACUAGAAGCUAUAGAUAAAGUACCGCAAGGGAACGCUGAAAGAGAAAUGA